GACGAACGCUGGCGGCGUGCUUAACACAUGCAAGUCGAACGGAAAGGCCCUGCUUUUGUGGGGUGCUCGAGUGGCGAACGGGUGAGUAACACGUGAGUAACCUGCCCUUGACUUUGGGAUAACUUCAGGAAACUGGGUCUAAUACCGGAUAGGAGCUCCUGCUGCAUGGUGGGGGUUGGAAAGUUUCGGCGGUUGGGGAUGGACUCGCGGCUUAUCAGCUUGUUGGUGGGGUAGUGGCUUACCAAGGCUUUGACGGGUAGCCGGCCUGAGGGGGGGACCGGCCACAUUGGGACUGAGAUACGGCCCGAACUCCUACGGGAGGAAGCAGUGGGGAAUAUUGCACAAUGGGCGGAAGCCUGAGGAAGCAACGCCGCGUGCGGGAUAACGGCCUUCGGGUUGUAAACCGCUUUCGCCUGUGACGAAGCGUGAGUGACGGUAAUGGGUAAAGAAGCACCGGCUAACUACGUG
This 468-nucleotide ribosomal RNA is filed under the name uncultured bacterium. RNAcentral describes it as "partial 16S ribosomal RNA". It matches the Rfam family "Bacterial small subunit ribosomal RNA", at positions 28 to 507 of the family's 1533-position model. The record is from RNAcentral.